UUAGAGGCAGGGAGUUCCAAUCCUCUUUGGAGAUUUGGAUCAUGUGGUUCCAGAGGGAAGGCUGUAGCUGCUAUGAAGUAGCUAUAAAAAGGAUGCACUAGAGGGAUUUGCUUUUAGCAAAGAGUGAGGACUUCAUUGCCAUUUCCCCCCAAGACCCCUUGCACCUUAGGAAGAGUCACACUGAUUUAACCUUGUGAGGAUCAAGAAUUGUAGUGAAACUGGGAUAUAGAGUUCCUAGCUAAACACUGACCUUUGCCUAACCAAAGCCAUGAAGACCUGUUACCAUUUCCUUCUUGCCAUUGCCUUAAUCCUUUCAGCUGAUCCAGUCUUUGCUCAGAUAAUAGGUGAAGAAAAAUGCAAUUCCUUCGGUGGCGUCUGCAAAGACAGCUGUGAGUCAGGUUAUGAUGACAUUGGAGAAUGCAGUACGACACGUUGCUGCAUAAGCUUUGCAUCUGAAUGAUGGGAUCCGUCUCUGCUGCCACUUGGCCUGAAGAUUCAUUAGCUCCUACCUGAACACCAGCGUUAUCCAGGAAUCGUGGUUUUUUUCCCCACCACCAGCUGAAGGACCAUAAAAGCAUGUUUGGUGUAAAACCUUCAAAGACCAUGUGUUAAUAAAAAAUAAAAACUAUAGUGCAGAUGG
Zootoca vivipara (common lizard) is the source of this 640-nucleotide long non-coding RNA. RefSeq lists it as uncharacterized. The record is from RefSeq and is a predicted model, not a curated record. Lineage: Eukaryota; Metazoa; Chordata; Lepidosauria; Squamata; Lacertidae.